GAAACUACUGAUAGCCCACAGAACCAGGCAAGACAUUACAAAAUUCUUCAGGAGCUGUACAAAUCCAAGCCCAGACCCAAUAAGAAGGAUGUUGCCCAGCUGUUGGACCUUGAAGACCAAGCAAGACGAGCAUACAUUGACUCUGAUGUUCUUAAGGAGCAGGACAGGCCUGCCAAGAUUCUUCAAGCAUAUCCCUGCUUCAGAGAACUGGAUCAUGUAAGCAAAUUAAAUUGCAUAUAUUUGAUAAUGGAUGAACUCCGAUGAAAUCCUCGAUCAGAAAAACUCUCACUACAUACCUGAACUAAAGAACCGUUGGGAAACCUUUUAUGAGAAGGCACAGUUUUAUGGAGUUUGUAAAAAAGUGAUGAGGCCUCCGUUGUCGGAUAAAGUAAAGCAAUCUGUUGCCGUGAUUAAGGCUUUGCCAGACCUGUUCCCAUCACCUGUGGCUCCACAGAAGAAGUUAGGACAUACAAGUGCAGCUAUGCUUCACAUCCUUAAGUCUGCAGAAGACCCCAACACCUUUGUC
Molecule: long non-coding RNA, 526 nt
Organism: Sander lucioperca (pikeperch)
Lineage: Eukaryota; Metazoa; Chordata; Actinopteri; Perciformes; Percidae
Exons: 4
Source: RefSeq, a predicted model, not a curated record